This is a long non-coding RNA of Macaca fascicularis (crab-eating macaque), 2208 nucleotides long. NCBI's taxonomy places the organism in Eukaryota, Metazoa, Chordata, Mammalia, Primates, Cercopithecidae. The record is from Ensembl.
UUUGCAUAUUUGUUGUUUACUUUACAUAUUUUAGAAAUUAUCCAUCUUUUUUUUUCUCUCAAAAUCUCUUCUACCUUUGGCAUCAAUUGUAGAAACUAAAUGUUUGCUGUAGAGUUCUAUCCUUUAAUCAUAGCUUUUUUUUUCUUUUUCUUUUUUUUAAAAAAAACAAAGUUCUCUUCUCUGCCUCUCUGCCUCCCCACCCAAUAAACCUAGUGGAUGUGUAGUUAUGCCAAGUUGUGGAAAACACAUUUAACACAUUUAAAAAUGUGCAAGGUAAAUGAAAUAUAAAAGUAUGUUAUACCUAAGAUUAAAAUAUUAAUUCGAUUUGGGGAUUUACUAGUCAACAUUUUGGUUUUAUAUGCAUUCAUUCAACUAACUCAUGAUAUCUUGUUGAAAUGAUGCAUUUAAAAUAAUUACUGAUUAAAAGAAAACUAAGGAACUUUUCAGGCUGAGAAUGACAUUAAAUUAUCCUGUUCUUGAGCGCCUCUCAGAGGCAUGGGUUAAAUAACACUAGAAUAUGAAUUUAGGGUCAUUUAGGCUUUUCUGGGCUUUGGUAUGCCUCCAACGGUUAUGAGUAAAAGGAGUAGUCCUUUAACUUGGAGAUUAGAUGUCUCUGGGUCCCAAUUAAGUUUUAUACCAAUUUCCUUUGUAUGGUUCGGCUAUUUGGCACCAUCUUGGUAGAAGAUAGGGAUCCAGGGCCUUUGCUAUCAGUGGAAUGGAUUGAGGAAAGCUUCCUCAUUUAUAAGUCUUGGCUUGGCAAAACAUAGCCUAGCCUUCUUCCUUCCCUUUCCAGACCAGGGCACCACGUGGAGAUAGCGCCGUUUGCUUGGGCUGGCCUUGGACAUUUCAGAGUUCCCCUCUUACUACAUGCUGACAUUAUUCCACAACUCCCCAUGUGCCUUCCCUCACUGCUGCCAAGUGCUCUUGAAAGUCAGCCACCUUCCUGGGUGACUGCUGCUUUCUUACCUCAGGUUAAAUCCAUAGACCCAGUGAAAGUUUUCCCAGGGGCUCCCAUACCUAAGGGUAAUCAUACUUUCUAUAUGUGAAAGGCUAGUUUUCCAGAGUUUUUAUUUCUUGAUGUUAGGUCACUGCAACCCUGGGAUAAAAAUAGAUGUAAUUAGCAUGUUACAGAUCAGACUCUGCACUUGUAGCUUUGUGCCACUUUCUCUAAUAAUACCAAUCUUGGUGACACAUUUCCUAGAAUCCUGGACUUGCUUCAAUCCCUAAAAUCCUCCAAGAGCUGAACUGUAGGACAGACCUGUUUGCUUUAGAAGCUAGAAGGGUUCGGUCCCAAUUAGAUUGUCUCUUUUCCCUGCCUUUCUGGACAUUGCAGGUCCAUCUCCAUUUUCUUGUUUUUAUGAUCAGGGAGCAACGGCUCCAUUCUCCCCUAAGGCUGACAUUUUUGUUGAAGGCUGAGCACACAUGUCUUCCGUCCUUGUGGCAAAAGGCCCUUUCCUGGCUGGCUCCAGAAUCCUCACCAGUUAAUUGGGAAAACAUUUGAGUUAGGCAUCACAAUUUCAGCCGAGCUGGGCAAACAACGAGUACACCUGUCACUCGAGCCAGUGUCCAAAACUCAGCCCCACGGAUCACAGCUGUAGCGUUAUUUCAGCAUGAGCAAUUCAGUAUUUAAUGUUCCUUAGAAAAAAAUAAAUCAUUCCAAGCUGCUACUGUUCACCUGUUAACUCUUUCGGGAUUUCAUGGUGGUGGGGGUGGAAGUGGGGAGUAAUCUAUAAUUUGCUUGGCUAGCAGAGAUAAUACCCCCUUCCCAAGUCUGUCUUUUAAAAGGCCAUUUCUUACAUAAUGGAGAACAGGGGCUGCAAAAACAAUAUCCUCUUGAUCUGUGUCAGCCACUGCCUUCCAGAAUGAGAAGUUAGAUUUUCUUCUUUCGUUUCAUUUAUAUUUUUACCUGCGCAGCACAGGUACUGCUUCCUACAGUCGGCAGCUUCCAUUUCUUUCCUCUUUCCAUGGUAGCUUAAAUUAGCCCGUCAUCAUCAGCAAAUCUUAAUUUACAAUUAAGUGCUGGGGAAAAAAAGUUCGUCAUUAAUCAGACCUCAUUUUAUGUAAAUGGCCCCCAAAAGCAACACACAUUUUUAAUCUGUCCUGCCGAUAGCUAAGCCCUUCUGUCAUUUGGGUCCUAAUAAAUGAAUUGGCCAUCUGCAAUUAAUCUGCAUAGUACAAAUCAUUGGAAGGCCGAGUCUGUCUGCCUUC